AACGAACGCUGGCGGCAUGCCUAACACAUGCAAGUCGAACGAGACCUUCGGGUCUAGUGGCGCACGGGUGCGUAACGCGUGGGAACCUGCCCUUAGGUUCGGAAUAACUCCCCGAAAGGGGUGCUAAUACCGGAUAAUGUCUUCGGACCAAAGAUUUAUCGCCUUUGGAUGGGCCCGCGUUGGAUUAGCUAGUUGGUAGGGUAAAAGCCUACCAAGGCGACGAUCCAUAGCUGGUCUGAGAGGAUGAUCAGCCACACUGGGACCGAGGCACGGCCCAGACUCCUACGGGAGGCAGCAGUGGGGAAUAUUGGACAAUGGGCGAAAGCCUGAUCCAGCAAUGCCGCGUGAGUGAUGAAGGCCUUAGGGUUGUAAAGCUCUUUUACCCGGGAUGAUAAUGACAGUACCGGGAGAAUAAGCUCCGGCUAACUCCGUG
This 433-nucleotide ribosomal RNA is filed under the name uncultured bacterium. RNAcentral's name for it is "partial 16S ribosomal RNA". It matches the Rfam family "Bacterial small subunit ribosomal RNA", at positions 29 to 507 of the family's 1533-position model. The record is from RNAcentral.